CAGAUUGAACGCUGGCGGCAGGCCUAACACAUGCAAGUCGAGCGGCAGCACGGGUACUUGUACCUGGUGGCGAGCGGCGGACGGGUGAGUAAUGCCUAGGAAUCUGCCUGGUGGUGGGGGAUAACGUUCGGAGACGGACGCUAAUACCGCAUACGUCCUACGGGAGAAAGCGGGGGACCUUCGGGCCUCGCGCCAUUAGAUGAGCCUAGGUCGGAUUAGCUAGUUGGUGAGGUAAUGGCUCACCAAGGCGACGAUCCGUAACUGGUCUGAGAGGGAUGAUCAGUCACACUGGAACUGAGACACGGUCCAGACUCCGUACGGGAGCAGCAGUGGGGAAUAGUUGGACAAGUGGGCGAAAGCC
Molecule: ribosomal RNA, 361 nt
Filed under: uncultured soil bacterium
Lineage: Bacteria
Description: bacterial SSU rRNA
Rfam family: Bacterial small subunit ribosomal RNA
Source: RNAcentral